AUGGAGCGCCGGAUAAAUUCCCUGGCUUCUGCUUCAGCCCCUGGCUUCUGUCCCAGUCCUGGCCUUUGUAGCCAUCUCAGGGGUGAACCCCCAGAUGGACGAUCACUCAGAGAGAGAGAGAGAGCACGCGAGCUGGCGAUGCCCCCUGCACUGCUUCUCUCCCCAAGCGGCUGCAAUGAAUGGCCAGCGCUGGGCCAGGCAGGAGGCAGGAGACAGGAGGCAGGAGACAGGAGGCAGGAGGCAGGAGGCAGGAGGCAGGAGGCAGGAGGUCCAUUGAGGACUCCCACGAGGCAUGGAGGUGGGGUCCAGAGAACCUGGGCCAUCAGCAUCUGGGUCCCUGGUAGCAGCCUGGAGAGGCUGGAGUGGAAGCGGCCCUGGGGCUUAGGAUGCUGGAUGCAGCAGUGUGCAGAUGCGUCCUGGGGUGCCAUGGUGACAGCCCAUGUGGAGUGCGCCUGCGCCUGGUGCUAUGACCCGGAAGUGCACCCACACGCUUGGCGCCAACUGCCCCGCGGUGCUCCGCUGGGAGUCAGCGCCGCAUCUGCUUCUGCCCGAAACCUGCACAAGCCACAUGGAGAGGAGCCGUUCUCGACGCGGCUGGCUGAGCUUGAGGGAGACCCAGCAACCCCAGGGUCAGGCCAGCAUCAGAGAGGCUGUAUGUGCGAGGCUGCCGCACCGUUUCCCAGGUGCAUUGCUCUUCUUUGGCCCCUUCGGGAAGCAACGGCCCUCACGGACCUCUGUGCCCCGAGCAGACUGGGCCCCCUUGGAGUGUUUGAAGGUAAAAUCCCCACUUUGGGAGACCCAGAAAAAUUACUGGCUCCUGGCUUUGGGUUGCCCCAGCUCCAGCCAUUGUGUCAAUUUUGGAUCGAAGACCCCUCCCUCUGCUUCUAUAUCUCUGCAACUCUGCCUUUCAAAUAAAUGCAUAAAAUUUUUAAAAGAAAAGAUUGUCAGUAGUUUUAUCAUUAGAAACAACAUAUGCUACAAGAGAACGGAGAAAUUCUUUGAAGUACUGAAAGAUAAAGAGUGUCAGCAUAGAAUUCUUUGCACAGUGAAUGUAUCUUUCCAAUGUGAGAGUGAAAUAAAGACUCUAGACAUAGAAUCA
RNAcentral lists this long non-coding RNA (1099 nucleotides) under Oryctolagus cuniculus (rabbit). RNAcentral's name for it is "lncRNA (ENSOCUG00000037312.1)". The record is from RNAcentral. Lineage: Eukaryota; Metazoa; Chordata; Mammalia; Lagomorpha; Leporidae.